CGAACGAACGCUGGCGGCGCGUCUUAAGCAUGCAAGUCGAACGGCAAGGAAGUGCUUGCACUUCCCUAGAGUGGCGGACUGGUGAGUAACACGUGGGUGACAUACCUUUUAGUUGGGGAUAGCUAUUAGAAAUAGUAGAUAAUACCGAAUGUGACCAUUACAGUUAGAGUGUAAUGAGGAAAGGAGCUAAGGCUCCGCUAAAAGAUUGGCCCGCGGCCCAUUAGCUAGUUGGUGAGGUAACGGCCCACCAAGGCGAUGAUGGGUAUCCGGCCUGAGGAGGGUGAUCGGACACAUUGGGACUGAGAUACCGGCCCAGACUCCGUACGGGAGGCAGCAGCUAAGAAUAUUCCACAAUGGACGAAAGUCUGAUGGAGCGACGCCGCGUGGAUGACGAAGGCCGAAAGGUUGUAAAAUCCUUUUAAACUGGAAGAAUAAUCAUGGUAGGGAAUGACCGUGAGGUGACCGUACAGUUUGAAUAAGCAACGGCUAAUUACGUG
RNAcentral lists this ribosomal RNA (497 nucleotides) under uncultured bacterium. RNAcentral's name for it is "bacterial SSU rRNA". It matches the Rfam family "Bacterial small subunit ribosomal RNA", at positions 27 to 507 of the family's 1533-position model. The record is from RNAcentral.